RNAcentral lists this ribosomal RNA (703 nucleotides) under uncultured bacterium. Its description in RNAcentral is "bacterial SSU rRNA". It matches the Rfam family "Bacterial small subunit ribosomal RNA", at positions 130 to 874 of the family's 1533-position model. The record is from RNAcentral.
CCUUCACUACGGAAUAGCCUCUGGAAACGGAGAGUAAUACCGUAUACGCCCUUUUGGGGAAAGAUUUAUCGGUGAAGGAUUAGCCCGCGUCUGAUUAGAUAGUUGGUGGGGUAACGGCCUACCAAGUCGACGAUCAGUAGCUGGUUUGAGAGGAUGAUCAGCAACACUGGGACUGAGACACGGCCCAGACUCCUACGGGAGGCAGCAGUGGGGAAUCUUAGACAAUGGGCGCAAGUGAUCUAGCCAUGCCGCGUGAGUGACGAAGGCCUUAGGGUCGUAAAGCUCUUUCGCCAGGGAUGAUAAUGACAGUACCUGGUAAAGAAACCCCGGCUAACUCCGUGCCAGCAGCCGCGGUAAUACGGAGGGGGUUAGCGUUGUUCGGAAUUACUGGGCGUAAAGCGCGCGUAGGGGAUUGGAAAGUUGGGGGUGAAAUCCCGGGGCUCAACCCCGAACUGCCUCCAAAACUAUCAGUCUAGAGUUCGAGAGAGGUGAGUGGAAUUCCAAGUGUAGAGGUGAAAUUCGUAGAUAUUUGGAGGAACACCAGUGGCGAAGGGGCUCACUGGCUCGAUACUGACGCUGAGGUGCGAAAGUGUGGGGAGCAAACAGGAUUAGAUACCCUGGUAGUCCACACCGUAAACGAUGAAUGCCAGACGUCGGGGGGCUUGCCUUCGGUGUCACACCUAACGGAUUAAGCAUUCCGCCU